CAAUAGCGUAUAUUAAAGUUGUUGCGGUUAAAAAGCUCGUAGUUGGAUUUCUGCUGAGAACGACCGGUCCGCCCUUUGGGUGUGUAUCUGGCUCUUUCUUGGCAUCUUCUUGGUGAACGUUGCUGCACUUGACUGUGUGGAGCGCUACCCAGGACUUUUACUUUGAGGAAAUUAGAGUGUUUCAAGCAGGCAUACGCCUUGAAUACAUUAGCAUGGAAUAAUAAGAUAGGACCUCGGUUCUAUUUUGUUGGUUUCUAGAGCUGAGGUAAUGAUUAAUAGGGAUAGUUGGGGGCAUUCGUAUUUAACUGUCAGAGGUGAAAUUCUUGGAUUCGUUAAAGACGGACUACUGCGAAAGCAUUUGCCAAGGAUGUUUUCAUUG
RNAcentral lists this ribosomal RNA (379 nucleotides) under uncultured eukaryote. RNAcentral describes it as "partial 18S ribosomal RNA". It matches the Rfam family "Eukaryotic small subunit ribosomal RNA", at positions 592 to 975 of the family's 1831-position model. The record is from RNAcentral.